Molecule: RNA transcript, 3478 nt
Organism: Micropterus dolomieu (smallmouth bass)
Lineage: Eukaryota; Metazoa; Chordata; Actinopteri; Centrarchiformes; Centrarchidae
Gene: khdrbs1b
Gene name: KH domain containing, RNA binding, signal transduction associated 1b
Exons: 12
Source: RefSeq, a predicted model, not a curated record
UGAGUCGGAUCACUAUUCUUCCAGUCUCUCGCUGCUUUUGUUCUCCCAUUUCCAUUCAGCCACAGCUGCUGAAGAGAGGGGACUAGCUGGUUGGGAAAUCACGCAGUACGUAUAGUAGCGGACCCGGCCGUCACAUGCAAAGCGCCGUCUGCACAGGGGAUACGCGGCACUCCGUAGUUACGUAACUGGACUACUUUUUUUCUAUUAUUGUUGGGCUUUUUUCACGCUUUUUUUCCUAUUGCACCGAAACUCCUCACCCUCUCUAAAGUCAAAAUGGAGAACGACGACAAGUACCUCCCCGAGCUGCUGGCGGAGAAGGACAGCCUGGACUCGUCGUUUACACACGCCAUGAAACUUUUAAACGCAGAAAUUGACAGAAUCCAGAAAGGCGAGACUAAAAAGGAGACAGAAACAUACCUGGAUCUUUUCACAACAAAGAACAUCAAGCUUAAGGAACGAGUGCUCAUACCUGUCAAACAGUACCCGAAGUUCAAUUUCGUGGGGAAGAUUUUGGGACCUCAGGGCAAUACAAUCAAACGUCUGCAGGAGGAGACCGGAGCCAAGAUCUCUGUGCUGGGCAAAGGAUCCAUGAGAGACAAAUCCAAGGAGGAGGGGCUGAGGAAAGGUGGCGAGCCCAAGUACGCCCAUUUGUCUAUGGAGCUGCACGUAUUCAUCGAGGUGUUUGCACCGGUGCCAGAGGCCUACCUGCGCAUGGCACACGCCAUGGAGGAAGUGAAGAAGUUCCUGUUUCCUGAUAUGAUGGAUGAUAUCUGCCAAGAGCAGUUCAUGGAGAUGGGCUACCUGAACGGAGGCCAGGAGCACGGAGCCCGAGGUCGAGGGGGCCCGCCGGCCAGGGGCCGCGGAGUCCCCCUUGCUGGAGCACACAGGGGUAGAGGAAUGCCCCCUCGCGGUGCUGCCGCCAGGGGGGGUGUGACUCGAGGUGGCCCAGCCAGAGGUGGUGCAGUGAGGGGCGCCCCAGCAGGGAGAGGAGGACCUCCUACAGCGCCCGCCAGGGGAGCUGUAGCACCCCGCGCCAGGCCCCCAGUCGGCGGACCCCCCCAGAGGAUGGCGCCUCCGCCCCACCAGCACACCGCUGCUGCAGCAACCGAGGGCUACGAGGAAUAUGGCUACGAUGAGAGCUACACAGACCCGGCCUACGAGUCAUACGACAGCUAUUACAGUCAGCCGCAGGCAGAGCCAGAAUACUAUGACUACGGACACGGAGAGAGCACAGAGUCAUACGAGUCGUAUGGCCAAGAUGACUGGAAUGGGACCCAGCGAACAGUUCCAGGGAAGGCCCCUCCCCCCUCCAGAGGUGCCAAGACGCCUUACCGGGAGCACCCAUACCGACAGUACUGAAGCAGACUCACCACCCUUAACGUGUUGCCCUGACUACCGCCUGUCUACCACGGCAGCUCUUGCUUUAAGCAGCCCGACAAAAUAAAAUUCUGAAAUGGCCUUUUUUAAACAGUCAGACGUAGGUGUUUUCCUUUGUUUCUCAUUCAAAACCGCAUUUUAAAUCUAAAUGAAUGUAUUGACGUCUGAGACUUUAACCCUACUAAAUGAUGUCUUGAUUGAUUAUCAAAAGAGCACAACUUAUUCUUUCUCUCUCUUUCUAUACUUUUUAAAAAGGACCCAGAGGUAAGACCUCUAAAAUAACCUGGAUAGCCUUCUAAUGUGUAUAGAGUUCUAAAGCAUUGAAUGCCUGGGUAUGUAUAAGACUUUUUCAAUCCUCUUACCUGUGGUCGUAAUCGUUUUUAUAGCAUCUGAAAAUUAACUGAAUUCAAACCACCAUUCAGGUCUAGGCUUCAUUAUCAUGAAUGACGCUGGCGCGAUGGCUACUUUAGUACAGAGUAAUGGCAGUGCAAUGGAGAGGAUGGUUAUAACCUAGAGAACUCCACUGUAAAGGCACAGCUAUCGGUCACCGAGUGCCCGGAGACUGACAGUCUGCUGAAGAAAGACCAUAAAAAUCUCAGUGAAGCCGUGCGCAGGAGCAGCUCAGCAUGAAGGAGGUGGUCAGACGAAGCUCUCGGGGCGCCCUGUUGGAUGGAGUGGCCCAAGGCCCAGUUCUGUUCCUGGCAGGGACGAGUUGUGCUGGCCAGCUGCCAAGUUGACCCACGGGAGCCAGCUGAUGUAGUGUGUGGGAGAGGAGCUGGCUCAGACUCCCACAGGAACAGGACUAAGACUGCAGCUGGUCAGCGAAGACAUUCAGCUCACCGGGAAUCCAGAAUAAUCAGAGACUAACGAACGGCUCUCAUGUUCUGUGGACUAUUUUCUGCUAUUUCUACAUUUCACGUCAAUAUUGAAUUAUACGCAUCCUCGUGUAUUAUCCUCGUGUAAUUAUUUUGAAGACACAAACUUGAAGCCAUUGCUGAUUGCAUGCUGCUGUACAUAGCUUCCGUGGACCACCCCCUCUUCCAACAAAUGUAAUUGUUACAGCCUAAUUUAGCAUAAAAUGAGCACUCCAGUUAUAGUAGGCUGUGAAAUUGUUUUUAAUUUCUAAUAACCCUUGAAUUAGAUGUGAAAAGAAUGUUACUUUCUGCAAGGCAAGCUGGAUUCUCCCAUUAGAGGAGAAUUGUGUGACAUCUGCAUUUCAAGUAUUUGAUAUUUUAAACAUUCUGGCUGCAUGUUGUUUAGUAUACAUGCCUUAUUGCCGCGUGAAAUUAGACUCAGUGCUCGAGAGUUAAAGAUGCCCGGAGAGUGUGGAUCGCUAUCUCGGUACGGCCGAGUUCACCGUGAGCUCACACAUGCCGCUGCAUCUUGGCACUGCGCGGCCUGUGUAGCCCUGAGGAUAGCAAAUGCUAAUGCAGCAGCCUAUUUGCAUGUACUCACAUGUACCCUCCCUGCAAAUGUGCAACACUUUCAUAACUGAUGCUGGCCUGUUCCCGGCAGUUCAGCAUCCAAGUAUGGUAAUUCAAAGAGAUCGACACAGGAGGAGAGCUGCAUGUGAGAAAGGGACAGAGGGUGAAGACAGACAUUACUAACUUCUAUCAAUCUAUCCAUCAUGCCUCUGUUGAUUUGAUUCCCCUCUAUGCCAUUUUCUGCCCUUAUAACUGAUGAUAUUACGGCAGCCUGUAGUGCCGAGUUACAUUUAGAGGUCAAAACUGUACUUUCCUGUAUUAAAAACACAUUUCUCUGUUCUGAUUCGCUGGUCAGAGGCAGCAUCAGCCAAGUCAGAGGCUCCAUUUAGUUUAUUGAAAAAGCUAGCAGCUUAGAGGACAGAACAUUAGAUAUUAGGAUAGAAACCAUCAUUUGAGAUGAAAUGUCAACGGGCCAUAUCCAAAACAGAUCAUUUUUCAGUCUUUAUGUGCUAUUAUGUCUAAAAUAAUGAUUUCUGUGUCUCCUAUAAUCUAAUGAAAGAUAAGUGAUGUGGAAGCCAUCUCCUCUGUUUGAAUCGAUCGAACUGUCAAGAGCGCAAGGGUGGAAAAGAAAGUAAAUGUUACUGUGCAAUGAUCAAUAAAAGUAGACUUGAAUAUGA